UAUGUUGCAAUUUGUAUUUUUGAAAAUAGACUCAUAUUAUGCGAACACAUAGGGAAGCAAUUACUAUAAUUUUUUCUAAGUAACAUUUAUACACGUGUUGUAUGACGGAUUGUGUGACGGUUUUAUGACAUGUUGUAUGACGGUUUGUAUGACGGGACGAGUAUGAGUCUUAAACUUUAAACCGGGUUAAAAUUUUAUUGUAUUAUUUUUUACAACACCAAUAUAAGACAUGUGAAUCAAAUUGAUUUCAUUAUAUUAAUCAAACUGAUUUCAUUAUGUUUGAUAUUAUGUAAUCUUAAUAAUUUUUAAAUAUAUUUUAGUAUAAUAUAAAUUUUGAAUAUUAUAAAAAAACCUAAAAAUAAAA
This 364-nucleotide long non-coding RNA is filed under the name Capsella grandiflora. Its description in RNAcentral is "long non-coding RNA (CGRA_LNC000433)". The record is from RNAcentral. Lineage: Eukaryota; Viridiplantae; Streptophyta; Magnoliopsida; Brassicales; Brassicaceae.